This 432-nucleotide ribosomal RNA is filed under the name uncultured bacterium. Its description in RNAcentral is "bacterial SSU rRNA". It matches the Rfam family "Bacterial small subunit ribosomal RNA", at positions 354 to 796 of the family's 1533-position model. RNAcentral also lists the same sequence under 1 other name. The record is from RNAcentral.
GUGGGGAAUAUUGCACAAUGGGCGCAAGCCUGAUGCAGCGACGCCGCGUGGGGGAUGACGGCCUUCGGGUUGUAAACUCCUUUCGCUAGGGACGAAGCUUUUUGUGACGGUACCUAGAUAAGAAGCACCGGCUAACUACGUGCCAGCAGCCGCGGUAAUACGUAGGGUGCGAGCGUUGUCCGGAAUUACUGGGCGUAAAGGGCUCGUAGGUGGUUUGUCGCGUCGUCUGUGAAAUUCCGGGGCUUAACUCCGGGCGUGCAGGCGAUACGGGCAUAACUUGAGUACUGUAGGGGUAACUGGAAUUCCUGGUGUAGCGGUGAAAUGCGCAGAUAUCAGGAGGAACACCGAUGGCGAAGGCAGGUUACUGGGCAGUUACUGACGCUGAGGAGCGAAAGCAUGGGUAGCGAACAGGAUUAGAAACCCCAGUAGUCC